This 385-nucleotide ribosomal RNA is filed under the name uncultured bacterium. Its description in RNAcentral is "bacterial SSU rRNA". It matches the Rfam family "Bacterial small subunit ribosomal RNA", at positions 30 to 422 of the family's 1533-position model. The record is from RNAcentral.
AUUGAACGCUGGCGGCAUGCCUUACACAUGCAAGUCGAACGGUAACAGGUUAAGCUGACGAGUGGCGAACGGGUGAGUAAUAUAUCGGAACGUGCCCAGUCGUGGGGGAUAACUGCUCGAAAGAGCAGCUAAUACCGCAUACGACCUGAGGGUGAAAGCGGGGGAUCGCAAGACCUCGCGCGAUUGGAGCGGCCGAUAUCAGAUUAGGUAGUUGGUGGGGUAAAAGCCCACCAAGCCAACGAUCUGUAGCUGGUCUGAGAGGACGACCAGCCACACUGGGACUGAGACACGGCCCAGACUCCUACGGGAGGCAGCAGUGGGGAAUUUUGGACAAUGGACGCAAGUCUGAUCCAGCCAUGCCGCGUGCGGGAAGAAGGCCUUCGGU